CCUACGGGGGGCUGCAGUGGGGAAUAUUGCACAAUGGGGGAAACCCUGAUGCAGCGACGCCGCGUGAGUGAAGAAGUAUUUCGGUAUGUAAAGCUCUAUCAGCAGGGAAGAAAAUGACGGUACCUGAGUAAGAAGCCCCGGCGAACGACGUGCCAGCAGCCGCGGUAAUACGGAGGGGGCAAGCGUGAUCCGGAUUUACUGGGUGUAAAGGGAGCGUAGACGGUGAUGCAAGUCAGAAGUGAAAGCCCGGGGCUCAACUCCGGGACUGCUUUUGAAACGGUGUAACUGGAGUGCAGGAGAGGUAAGCGGAAUUCCUGGUGUAGCGGUGAAAUGCGUAGAUAUCAGGAGGAACACCAGUGGCGAAGGCGGCUUACUGGACUGUAACUGACGUUGCGGCUCGAAAGCGUGGGGAGCAAACAGGAUUAGAUACCCGAGUAGUC
Molecule: ribosomal RNA, 440 nt
Filed under: uncultured bacterium
Lineage: Bacteria
Description: partial 16S ribosomal RNA
Rfam family: Bacterial small subunit ribosomal RNA
Source: RNAcentral